RNAcentral lists this ribosomal RNA (482 nucleotides) under uncultured bacterium. RNAcentral describes it as "partial 16S ribosomal RNA". It matches the Rfam family "Bacterial small subunit ribosomal RNA", at positions 30 to 507 of the family's 1533-position model. The record is from RNAcentral.
AUUGAACGCUGGCGGCAUGCUUUACACAUGCAAGUCGAACGGUAACAGGCCGCAAGGUGCUGACGAGUGGCGAACGGGUGAGUAAUGCAUCGGAACGUGCCCAGUCGUGGGGGAUAACUACUCGAAAGAGUAGCUAAUACCGCAUACGAUCUAUGGAUGAAAGCGGGGGACCGUAAGGCCUCGCGCGAUUGGAGCGGCCGAUGUCAGAUUAGGUAGUUGGUGGGGUAAAGGCUCACCAAGCCAACGAUCUGUAGCUGGUCUGAGUGGACGACCAGCCACACUGGGACUGAGACACGGCCCAGACUCCUACGGGAGGCAGCAGUGGGGAAUUUUGGACAAUGGGCGCAAGCCUGAUCCAGCAAUGCCGCGUGCAGGAAGAAGGCCUUCGGGUUGUAAACUGCUUUUGUACGGAACGAAACGGCUCUGGUUAAUACCCGGGGCUAAUGACGGUACCGUAAGAAUAAGCACCGGCUAACUACGUG